Molecule: small nuclear RNA, 30 nt
Filed under: Arabidopsis thaliana (thale cress)
Lineage: Eukaryota; Viridiplantae; Streptophyta; Magnoliopsida; Brassicales; Brassicaceae
Description: snRNA_12891
Source: RNAcentral
UGAUUGCAAGCUGUUAAAACCGCGACAAAU